Molecule: long non-coding RNA, 2321 nt
Organism: Lynx canadensis (Canada lynx)
Lineage: Eukaryota; Metazoa; Chordata; Mammalia; Carnivora; Felidae
Exons: 3
Source: RefSeq, a predicted model, not a curated record
CCGAUGGUGACCCGUGAAGACAUCGUUCCCCAUCAGGUUGGAGAGCGGGCCGUUCUGGCCACCUGUCUGCCUGGGAGGCUUCAUCCCAAAUGGGCACAACAGAGGUUUCCCUGGCUCUCAAAUUGCCCCUUCGUGCCUGAAAUACAACGACUCAUAAAAUUGAGAAAAAAUCGUGGGAUCUGAGCAGAACUGGUGGGAAGGAGGUGGGCGCUCCGACUUCUGCAAGCUGAGGUCAAAGUUGAGGGCGUGCUUGGGAUGGAUGUCCUCAGGGUCAGAAACCGGGGUGAGCCCCAGGGUAGCCCAGAAGGUACUCUGCUGAGGGGCGUCGGCAUGAACUUCGCAUUAUGCACAUUGCUGCCCCUGUCAUUAGUGGGGUGUUAGAAACAUGACUUAGGGGCCGUGCAGACGCAUUUGCGACACCCUCAAGGGGGCACAGGCUGUGGAGAGCACCUUGGGCACAGAACCCCCUCCCCGGGUGGGUCAUGGGGAACCGCCUUCAGCAUCCCCCCCCCCCCCCCGCUUCCUCUGGGUCUGUGACUCCUUUAUUCUGCUGUCGGGGAAAGAACCCACGUGGUCACUUUGCCAAACACUCAGACGCUUGUUGGUCACCGAGGGUUCGAUUUCCUUACAUGCGGGCUAGACCACAACUCGAGUAAACAUCAGGAAAGAAGGUGGGGGCCUUAAAAAUAUUAAUUCUCAUGGAGUUAUUUCAAGUACCAGACUUCCAGUUUCCACCCCCUUCUUUUGAAGCGAAACAGCAGUGGGGUUCUGUGUUGUGUUGUAAACAGGCGAGCAAGUGUCCCUCUUGAACCUGGACGCCGGUCGGGAGCGGCUUCUGCGGGCCCACGUUUACUCUUGUGAUGGGUGCCGGGCAGGCAGCUGCACUGAGAAUUUCUGCUCCGGCCCCUCCGUGACCUCAACCUGCCCGGCCAGCCGGCCACCUCAGCUGGGGGGAGGGGGGGUUGCUCUUACAGGGAUCCCCUUGGCAAGAAGCAGCAGCCUCAGCACGAGAGGUUUCCACACUCGGGGGGUGGGUGUGUGCGUGCAAAUAUUUUUUUUUUCAACAGGGGGCUGCUUGGCAGACCGGACCACGAAAAUAGCCCUGUUAGCAAGCACUGUGCCUGCAGAUAGAACUUCCUAUUCAAAUCAGGGCAAGAGGCAGAGGGAUCAUGAGGCGAAAUGAGCCGUGUGUGUGUGUGUGUGUGUGUGUGUGUGUGUGUGUGUGUGUUUCCUGAAUAAAUGAAUCAGACAUGCGGCGGGGCUGGCCCUCCUCUGUCCCGGGUCUCUGGAUCAUUUCAGAGGGUUAAUGCAGCAGAGGCGGAGGGGAGGCCGGAGAGGGUUCCCAGCUGAUCUGCCGGGCGCUGCGUGCAUUAACCCCCUCCUGCCCGAGCCUCCAGCCGUGGCCGGGCGCUGGUGGGCACCAGGAAGGGGUGGGAUUCCCUCACGAGACGCAUAAUUGUAUACAUUCUGCUCCGCGGUGGCCGCCAAGCUGUAUCACUGCCCGUGUGACACGGCCAUCUUCUCCCGGGAGCCGCUGGAGACCUCAGGGUACGGAGCCAGCUCUCUGGGAUGAUCGCAGAUGAAUUCUCCGCGGAGGGAGGCGGAUGACCCGUGGAGAUCCGUCACGCGUGGCUCUUUGAAGUUUUCUCCUGCUUUCUCGCACGGCGCCGGGAAGCCAAGCUUUGCCACGUCCUCUUGCGCACACACGCGAUGUUCUGCGGUGGUUGUCGGAUGCUCGCGACGUGGAAAGAGAUGGAAUUUUCCCGACAGAGUCCCACUGGAGAUUCCCUAGGAAUUUGCACUUCUUACCUGUCUGUCCGUUUAUCUGACUGGAUAUAAACUAAAAAGCCCACUCCUUGAAGCUCCUUUCUUGCUGUGCCUUCCAUCUGGCACAUUAGCCCCGAACUAUCAGUUGCCACAAUUACAGAGUGAAAUAACACAGUAUACAAAGCAGGUGGAGGCAGACCGCAAGAAGCCCUACAAGAAAGAGCCCAAAAUAUUUUUUCCCCCAGCGAGCCCUGACAUUUAGGGGAAAACAAAAUAUCUACAAAAGAGGGAAAUUAAAUGAACGGUGUCCAACAGGAAUGGUGCUGUGACAUAGUUUCACCUAAUAAAGAAUCUGGAGCAAAGAUAUUUCAGAGCCCCUCCUUCCUAUAAACAUUCUUCUCUCCUGGCUUUCGUUCUGUUCCAGUUGGAAAUUUUUCCAGAAGAAAAGCCUGGUGAAUUAUUUAAUAAAUAAAAUCCUUUAAGGCAACCACGUUCAAAGAUAUCGCCUCAAAUUCCCUUCAAAUACACAUAGCAAGAAGUGUGCCACCGGCAGC